Molecule: ribosomal RNA, 376 nt
Filed under: uncultured bacterium
Lineage: Bacteria
Description: bacterial SSU rRNA
Rfam family: Bacterial small subunit ribosomal RNA
Source: RNAcentral
UACGUAGGUGGCGAGCGUUGUCCGGAAUUACUGGGUGUAAAGGGCGUGUAGGCGGGGGUGCAAGUCAGAUGUGAAAGACCAUGGCUCAACUGUGGGGGUGCAUCUGAAACUGUGUCUCUUGAGUGCUGGAGAGGGAAGCGGAAUUCCUAGUGUAGCGGUGAAGUGCGUAGAUAUUAGGAGGAACACCGGUGGCGAAGGCGGCUUCCUGGACAGCAACUGACGCUGAGGCGCGAAAGCGUGGGUAGCGAACAGGAUUAGAUACCCUGGUAGUCCACGCCGUAAACGAUGGAUACUAGGUGUAGGAGGUAUCGACCCCUUCUGUGCCGCAGUAAACACAAUAGGUAUCCCACCUGGGGAGUACGGUCGCAAGACUGAA